AUAAAAAAAACCCAGAGGUGCCUGACUUCAGUAGUCAAAGAAACACCUUCCCUGCCUCACAUCCGUUUGUGGUUUGUAAAGAGAGAGAGAGGAGAGAGGGGAAGGGAUAAAAAAAAAAAAAAAAAAAGAAAAAAAAUCUUCCAAAAAAGCACCGGUCUGCAGAUGUCUGCGAGAGAAUCAACAAACCCUCCUUCUUCUACGGCAGGGCAGUAGGAGCCAUGAAACCAGUGGUACUGGAGAUGUAGUGAUUCUUCUGAGUUACAUCGGCAUCUUGAAGGUGGAGAUCAAAGUUAUGGCUGCUGGUCAAGUGCUUCAGAGUAAUAGCAAGGCCAGCGUUUGGAUGUGGCUGAUAAAAGCUGAGGAUGCUGAGAUCUCUGCACAGUGCACACAUAAGUAUGGCCUAGUAGGACAGUGUGGAUGAAAAUAUGAAGGCAUGGAUGCCCCCUUACAGGAAGUGUUCAAGGCCAGGUUGGAUGUGGCUUUGAGCAACCUGGUUUAGUUGAAAGUGUUCCAGCCUGUGGCAGGGGGUUUGAAAGUAGAUAAUCUUUGAGGUCCCUCCCAUCCCAAGCCAUGCUAUGAUUCUAUGUUUUUACAAUUCUAUGAUGUGAAGUAUACCUCAAAACAUAUCUUUCCUUUUCAGACCCAGAAUUGUCAGGAAAGUGAAAUAUCUGCUAUUGCCAAAUGAGUGUACAACAGCUUGAAAAAAGGAGAUGGUGAUUUCCAGUGAAAAGAGGAAAGGAAGAGUCUCUUUGGAAUACAUAAAAUAUGAUGCAUUAGUGUAAUAUUGUCAUUGAAGAUCAAGUGUUAUAAUAUUUUAUAUUUUUUUCAUUGCUGUCCAAUAAACAUACAGCAAUAGCAGGUGAAUAUAUCAAAUGUAUGUAUAAUGUCUUCCCACUGUAUCUAACUGUUCCAUAUAUUACUGUUGCAUCUUCUGAGAUUAAGUAAACAGAACAUAAUGUACUCUACAUAAAUAUAGCACUACUGAAUCAUAA
Long non-coding RNA from Neopsephotus bourkii (Bourke's parrot), 992 nucleotides. RefSeq lists it as uncharacterized. The transcript is spliced from 3 exons. The record is from RefSeq and is a predicted model, not a curated record. Lineage: Eukaryota; Metazoa; Chordata; Aves; Psittaciformes; Psittacidae.